CCUACGGGUUGCAGCAGUGGGGAAUUUUGCACAAUGGGCGCAAGCCUGAUGCAGCCAUGCCGCGUGUAUGAAGAAGGCCUUCGGGUUGUAAAGUACUUUCAGCGGGGAGGAAGGUGUUGUGGUUAAUAACCACAGCAAUUGACGUUACCCGUAGAAGAAGCACCGGCUAACUCCGUGCCAGCAGCCGCGGUAAUACGGAGGGUGCAAGCGUUAAUCGGAAUUACUGGGCGUAAAGUGCACGCAGGCGGUCUGUCAAGUCGGGUGUGAAAUCCCCGGGCUCAACCUGGGAACUGCAUUCGAAACUGGCAGGCUAGAGUCAUGUAGAGGGGGGUAGAAUUCCAGGUGUAGCGGUGAAAUGCGUAGAGAUCUGAAGGAAUACCAGUGGCGAAGGCGGCCCCCUGGACAAAGACUGACGCUCAGAUGCGAAAGCGUGGGGAGCAAACAGGAUUAGAUACCCUUGUAGUC
Molecule: ribosomal RNA, 465 nt
Filed under: uncultured bacterium
Lineage: Bacteria
Description: bacterial SSU rRNA
Rfam family: Bacterial small subunit ribosomal RNA
Source: RNAcentral